ACUCCUACGGGAGGCAGCAGUGGGGAAUAUUGCACAAUGGGCGCAAGCCUGAUGCAGCCAUGCCGCGUGUAUGAAGAAGGCCUUCGGGUUGUAAAGUACUUUCAGCAGUGAGGAAGGUGGAUAUGUUAAUAGCAUAUUCAUUUGACGUUAGCUGCAGAAGAAGCACCGGCUAACUCCGUGCCAGCAGCCGCGGUAAUACGGAGGGUGCGAGCGUUAAUCGGAAUUACUGGGCGUAAAGCGCAUGCAGGUGGUUUGUUAAGUCAGAUGUGAAAGCCCGGGGCUCAACCUCGGAAUUGCAUUUGAAACUGGCAAACUAGAGUACUGUAGAGGGGGGUAGAAUUUCAGGUGUAGCGGUGAAAUGCGUAGAGAUCUGAAGGAAUACCGGUGGCGAAGGCGGCCCCCUGGACAGAUACUGACACUCAGAUGCGAAAGCGUGGGGAGCAAACAGGAUUAAGAUACCCUGGUAGGCUCU
RNAcentral lists this ribosomal RNA (472 nucleotides) under uncultured bacterium. RNAcentral's name for it is "bacterial SSU rRNA". It matches the Rfam family "Bacterial small subunit ribosomal RNA", at positions 335 to 798 of the family's 1533-position model. The record is from RNAcentral.